This 21-nucleotide small nuclear RNA is filed under the name Arabidopsis thaliana (thale cress). RNAcentral describes it as "snRNA_04876". Lineage: Eukaryota; Viridiplantae; Streptophyta; Magnoliopsida; Brassicales; Brassicaceae. The record is from RNAcentral.
UCCGGAAAGAAGCUACACGAU